RNAcentral lists this ribosomal RNA (410 nucleotides) under uncultured Gammaproteobacteria bacterium. Its description in RNAcentral is "bacterial SSU rRNA". It matches the Rfam family "Bacterial small subunit ribosomal RNA", at positions 370 to 779 of the family's 1533-position model. Lineage: Bacteria; Pseudomonadati; Pseudomonadota; Gammaproteobacteria. The record is from RNAcentral.
AAUGGGCGAAAGCCUGACGCAGCCACGCCGCGUGCCGGAUGAAGGCCUCUGGGUUGUAAACGGCUUUUACUAGGGAAGAAGAGAGGGUUUCGAUCUUCUGUGACGGUACCUAGUGAAUAAGCACCGGCUAACUCCGUGCCAGCAGCCGCGGUAAUACGGAGGGUGCAAGCGUUGUCCGGAAUCAUUGGGUGUAAAGGGUACGUAGGCGGGAGCCUAAGUCUGGGGUGAAAUCUUGCCGCUUAACGGUAAAAUGGCCCUGGAUACUGGGUUUCUUGAGUGCAGAAGAGGCAGGUGGAAUUCGUGGUGUAGCGGUGAAAUGCUUAGAUAUCACGAAGAACAUCAGUGGCGAAGGCGGCCUGCUGGUCUGCAACUGACGCUGAGGUACGAAAGCGUGGGGAGCGAACAGGAUU